UUAAGGGCGCACGGUGGAUGCCUUGGCACUAGAAGCCGAUGAAGGACGUUACUAACGACGAUAUGCUUUGGGGAGCUGUAAGUAAGCUUUGAUCCAGAGAUUUCCGAAUGGGGAAACCCAGCAUGAGUUAUGUCAUGUUAUCGAUAUGUGAAUACAUAGCAUAUCAGAAGGCACACCCGGAGAACUGAAACAUCUUAGUACCCGGAGGAAGAAAAAGAAAAUUCGAUUCCCUUAGUAGCGGCGAGCGAAACGGGAAGAGCCCAAACCAACAAGCUUGCUUGUUGGGGUUGUAGGACACUCUAUACGGAGUUACAAAGGACGACAUUAGACGAAUCAUCUGGAAAGAUGAAUCAAAGAAGGUAAUAAUCCUGUAGUCGAAAAUGUUGUCUCUCUUGAGUGGAUCCUGAGUACGACGGAGCACGUGAAAUUCCGUCGGAAUCUGGGAGGACCAUCUCCUAAGGCUAAAUACUCUCUAGUGACCGAUAGUGAACCAGUACCGUGAGGGAAAGGUGAAAAGCACCCCGGAAGGGGAGUGAAAUAGAACCUGAAACCGUGUGCUUACAAGUAGUCAGAGCCCGUUAAUGGGUGAUGGCGUGCCUUUUGUAGAAUGAACCGGCGAGUUACGAUUUGAUGCAAGGUUAAGCAGUAAAUGUGGAGCCGUAGCGAAAGCGAGUCUGAAUAGGGCGUUUAGUAUUUGGUCGUAGACCCGAAACCAGGUGAUCUACCCUUGGUCAGGUUGAAGUUCAGGUAACACUGAAUGGAGGACCGAACCGACUUACGUUGAAAAGUGAGCGGAUGAACUGAGGGUAGCGGAGAAAUUCCAAUCGAACCUGGAGAUAGCUGGUUCUCUCCGAAAUAGCUUUAGGGCUAGCCUCAAGUGAUGAUUAUUGGAGGUAGAGCACUGUUUGGACGAGGGGCCCCUCUCGGGUUACCGAAUUCAGACAAACUCCGAAUGCCAAUUAAUUUAACUUGGGAGUCAGAACAUGGGUGAUAAGGUCCGUGUUCGAAAGGGAAACAGCCCAGACCACCAGCUAAGGUCCCAAAAUAUAUGUUAAGUGGAAAAGGAUGUGGCGUUGCCCAGACAACUAGGAUGUUGGCUUAGAAGCAGCCAUCAUUUAAAGAGUGCGUAAUAGCUCACUAGUCGAGUGACACUGCGCCGAAAAUGUACCGGGGCUAAACAUAUUACCGAAGCUGUGGAUUGUCCUUUGGACAAUGGUAGGAGAGCGUUCUAAGGGCGUUGAAGCAUGAUCGUAAGGACAUGUGGAGCGCUUAGAAGUGAGAAUGCCGGUGUGAGUAGCGAAAGACGGGUGAGAAUCCCGUCCACCGAUUGACUAAGGUUUCCAGAGGAAGGCUCGUCCGCUCUGGGUUAGUCGGGUCCUAAGCUGAGGCCGACAGGCGUAGGCGAUGGAUAACAGGUUGAUAUUCCUGUACCACCUAUAAUCGUUUUAAUCGAUGGGGGGACGCAGUAGGAUAGGCGAAGCGUGCGAUUGGAUUGCACGUCUAAGCAGUAAGGCUGAGUAUUAGGCAAAUCCGGUACUCGUUAAGGCUGAGCUGUGAUGGGGAGAAGACAUUGAGUCUUCGAGUCGUUGAUUUCACACUGCCGAGAAAAGCCUCUAGAUAGAAAAUAGGUGCCCGUACCGCAAACCGACACAGGUAGUCAAGAUGAGAAUUCUAAGGUGAGCGAGCGAACUCUCGUUAAGGAACUCGGCAAAAUGACCCCGUAACUUCGGGAGAAGGGGUGCUCUUUAGGGUUAACGCCCAGAAGAGCCGCAGUGAAUAGGCCCAAGCGACUGUUUAUCAAAAACACAGGUCUCUGCUAAACCGUAAGGUGAUGUAUAGGGGCUGACGCCUGCCCGGUGCUGGAAGGUUAAGAGGAGUGGUUAGCUUCUGCGAAGCUACGAAUCGAAGCCCCAGUAAACGGCGGCCGUAACUAUAACGGUCCUAAGGUAGCGAAAUUCCUUGUCGGGUAAGUUCCGACCCGCACGAAAGGCGUAACGAUUUGGGCACUGUCUCAACGAGAGACUCGGUGAAAUCAUAGUACCUGUGAAGAUGCAGGUUACCCGCGACAGGACGGAAAGACCCCGUGGAGCUUUACUGUAGCCUGAUAUUGAAAUUCGGCACAGCUUGUACAGGAUAGGUAGGAGCCUUUGAAACGUGAGCGCUAGCUUACGUGGAGGCGCUGGUGGGAUACUACCCUAGCUGUGUUGGCUUUCUAACCCGCACCACUUAUCGUGGUGGGAGACAGUGUCAGGCGGGCAGUUUGACUGGGGCGGUCGCCUCCUAAAAGGUAACGGAGGCGCUCAAAGGUUCCCUCAGAAUGGUUGGAAAUCAUUCAUAGAGUGUAAAGGCAUAAGGGAGCUUGACUGCGAGACCUACAAGUCGAGCAGGGUCGAAAGACGGACUUAGUGAUCCGGUGGUUCCGCAUGGAAGGGCCAUCGCUCAACGGAUAAAAGCUACCCCGGGGAUAACAGGCUUAUCUCCCCCAAGAGUUCACAUCGACGGGGAGGUUUGGCACCUCGAUGUCGGCUCAUCGCAUCCUGGGGCUGUAGUCGGUCCCAAGGGUUGGGCUGUUCGCCCAUUAAAGCGGUACGCGAGCUGGGUUCAGAACGUCGUGAGACAGUUCGGUCCCUAUCCGUCGUGGGCGUAGGAAAUUUGAGAGGAGCUGUCCUUAGUACGAGAGGACCGGGAUGGACAUACCUCUGGUGUACCAGUUGUCGUGCCAACGGCAUAGCUGGGUAGCUAUGUGUGGACGGGAUAAGUGCUGAAAGCAUCUAAGCAUGAAGCCCCCCUCAAGAUGAGAUUUCCCAACUUCGGUUAUAAGAUCCCUCAAAGAUGAUGAGGUUAAUAGGUUCGAGGUGGAAGCAUGGUGACAUGUGGAGCUGACGAAUACUAAUCGAUCGAAGACUUAAUC
Molecule: ribosomal RNA, 2911 nt
Rfam family: Bacterial large subunit ribosomal RNA